UACAGAGGUCUCAAGCGUUGUUCGGAUUCAUUGGGCGUAAAGGGUGCGUAGGUGGCGCGGUAAGUCGGGUGUGAAAUUUCGGAGCUUAACUCCGAAACUGCAUUCGAUACUGCCGUGCUUGAGGACUGGAGAGGAGACUGGAAUUUACGGUGUAGCAGUGGAAUGCGUAGAGAUCGUAAGGAAGACCAGUGGCGAAGGCGGGUCUCUGGACAGUUCCUGACACUGAGGCACGAAGGCCAGGGGAGCAAACGGG
This 253-nucleotide ribosomal RNA is filed under the name uncultured bacterium. RNAcentral describes it as "partial 16S ribosomal RNA". It matches the Rfam family "Bacterial small subunit ribosomal RNA", at positions 524 to 776 of the family's 1533-position model. The record is from RNAcentral.